AUGGCCAUGUGACAACAGAGGCAGAGACUGGAGUCCUGCGUCUUCAAGGACUGGCACAAAUGACAUCUACCAGUCUGGGAAUUCUGACGUUCAGAUGUUCAUCCAUCCAUCUUCGGAAAUCUCCAAUGUCACAGAUUUUGAAGGAAACAGACAGCACAACAACAACAACCUCUCUCGGUCCUCACCCAAAUCUUUCUUCUGAAAUUGGAAGCUGAUGGCCACCAAACACAUUUUUAAAAGACCAGCGCAGUUUGAAGAACAGCUCAGAAAGUCUGCCUUCGCUGAAAACUCAUUCCCUGGGAGUUGCAAUGAGCAGACAGGCCAC
Long non-coding RNA from Symphalangus syndactylus (siamang), 325 nucleotides. RefSeq lists it as uncharacterized. Lineage: Eukaryota; Metazoa; Chordata; Mammalia; Primates; Hylobatidae. The record is from RefSeq and is a predicted model, not a curated record.